AUCCAUGUGACGUGUCCCAAACAGGACGAAACACGCGUCUUGAAU
RNAcentral lists this non-coding RNA (45 nucleotides) under Schistosoma margrebowiei. Lineage: Eukaryota; Metazoa; Platyhelminthes; Trematoda; Strigeidida; Schistosomatidae. The record is from RNAcentral.